UACGUAGGGCGCAAGCGUUGUCCGGAAUUAUUGGGCGUAAAGAGCUCGUAGGCGGUUUGUCGCGUCUGCUGUGAAAGCUCGAGGCUCAACCUCGGGCUUGCAGUGGGUACGGGCAGACUAGAGUGCGGUAGGGGUGACUGGAAUUCCUGGUGUAGCGGUGGAAUGCGCAGAUAUCAGGAGGAACACCGAUGGCGAAGGCAGGUCACUGGGCCGCAACUGACGCUGAGGAGCGAAAGCAUGGGGAGCGAACAGG
This 253-nucleotide ribosomal RNA is filed under the name uncultured bacterium. RNAcentral describes it as "partial 16S ribosomal RNA". It matches the Rfam family "Bacterial small subunit ribosomal RNA", at positions 524 to 776 of the family's 1533-position model. The record is from RNAcentral.